UGAAGACUAAAAGCCCAAUCUCCUGCAACAACAACAACCUUUCCCGAUGACUCAGAUGAAUCUCCGGUCACGUCAAAUCCGAUGACCCUGACCAGACCUGCAAACUGCCGGCGAACUGCAGAUUUUCGACCUGAACCGUCUCAAUCGCUAGCUCCAUCAAAGUACCUCAGAGACCUUUCCCUCUUCCUUGCUUCAAACAACCAUGGCAAGAAAAACACAUGUUGCUUCCACUUUUGGAUUUCAAAAAUUAAUUCCUGAAAUUCUCCAUCGCCGACCUCAAGAGCUUUCAUGUUCAUUCUGGACUCGGAAAACUUCAGAGAUUCGCAACAAUUCCCAAGCUUCAAUACCCGAUGACAUCCUAGAAAUACUUCACUGAGUUUAAGAAGAUUUAUUCUAGCUGAUACCAUCACCAUCUCAGCUCGCCGCACGGCUUCACCAGCUCUCUACCGGAAUCUAAAAACCAGUUCCGAAUCACCUCGUCAAUCCGCUUCUCAUCCAGUUCACAAAGAGAUGGAUAGAGUAAAUCGAGAGAGAACACAAUAUUUCAGAUCUUCACUUUACAAGGGUUGAAUAUCAAAGAGCCGAGCUCAGCAAUCCCGCACCAGCAACAAAAGCUAAGUGUCAUCUUCUUUACCAAAUACUAUGAUCUAAAAUCUCAAAGAAAAUAGAUCUCUUCACAAGCUUUCAUCGAAAUGUUGCAGGACUUACAAAAAUCAUAGCUCCGGCUAAAAGACGCUUCAGCAAUAUAAAGUAGCGACAACAAUUAAGAGCUUCAGCUCGUCAAUCCAUCCCGCAUAAGCACAAGUUCAAAAUUUUCUCAGUUCUCUCACCGACCUAAGCCAAAGUUUCAAAGCAACAGUGCAACAUGAAUAUUCUAAGCUCACCGAUCUAGAAGCUAUUCUUAGCUCGUUACCCGAACUCCUUGAUACCCAGGUAUUAUCUAUCAAAAUUAUACAUCUUAUUCAAAGAAUAUUCACCAUUGUCACAGGGUCUGUCCCUCCUCCAAGCCGAACUAAGGUUCGCAUUUAAAAAAAAAAAACAAAAAGAAGAAAAGAGACGGUUCUACAAAGCUCUUUAUAGACGAGCUCCGAGCUCCGAGCUCCUACCUAAACUCAUGCUUCUUGGAAGCUAUUUCUAAACCGAGCUCUGAGCUCUCAUUUCUAAACUAAGCUACUACUGAUACAUUUCAUCAGCCUCAGUCUGCUAGUUUCUUUAUAUCUGCUUCAGCUCGUCAAGUUUUAUAUCAGAAAGUUCGGAUUUCAAUUCAGCUCGGUUUUAGUUCAAAAUUCCAGUUCAGCUCUGAAUAUUAAUUGGGUUUCGAAUCCAGAGCUUCAGUCAGUUUGGUUUUGAAUCAGAAUUUCAGCUCAGUUCAGAACUUCAGAAUUUUUCAGUUCGUCAUCAGAUUUGGACUUCGGAACUUCAAUAUUAUCAGUUUUGUUCAGAAUUUCGAGUUUCAGUUCGAUACAACAGCUCAGUUAGUCAGUUCAGUUCAUCGACUUGAGUCCGUCAUCUCAGAAUACACUCUUCUGCCGAGCUAUACCGCGCUCAAACCUCUUCUAGCUCAUCAACCGAGCUCCUCUGAAAUUCAGGGUCCGUCCCUCCAAGCCGAAGUGACAUGUUCGCAGUCCCAACCGAACUCAUCGGUAUUACAUCGACUUCCUGGCCAGUUGUUCGAUAGCAUUUCUCAACAAUGCAACCUCAAAAAGCCGAGAUCCGUCUCGCAAGCGUCCACAUGGCGCCGUGGUGAAAGAAUCCACAAUUUUUAAAGCCGGGGCCAGUCCCGCAUUACUUAUUCCUAAGUCACCGAGAACAAUAAGCCGAGCCCAUCUCGCACACUCUGGUUCGAUUUAGGAGACCUUGAGUUUGUAUCAUGCGUUUACAAGGGUUCGAUUCCUCACUCUUCCAGUAUGAUAAAACUCACUUGAGUCCCCCAGGCCGAGUUCAUUUAACUCGCACAAAUUAAGCCGAACACCUCAGAUUCGCACCGUAAGCCGAGUUCUCAACACUCGCAAAUGUAAGCCGAAUUAUCGCAAUUCGCAACCGACUGAGUUGAAACUCAUAUAAGCCAAGCUAACAGGCUCGCAAGUCUCCAAUCUCAAUUCACACCGAACUAAAAAUACUCAUGAAAUCCGCCGAACUCUUACACAUACUCUUUCGCCGGACUGAGGGGGGGGGGCUUACUGUUGGUGGUGUACUACGCACCCCCGGUUUAGUCCGGUAUGAACCGAGAUCGGCCCAAUUGAUCCCGAUUUACGAUGGUUCAUAUCUGAAAGACAUUCGACCUGUUAACUGAUUUACAAUAUCAGUUUUUAUAUCCAGACUUUGCGGAAUAUUUCCUAAUCUUAUAUGAAAAAAGGAAAUAUUCCUAAAAGAUAAUUCCCCGAGAAAAAAGGAAGUUAUUAUUAUCUAUUCCGGGAAAUAAGGAAAUAUGCAUUAUCAAGUCAAGAAGGAAAAGGAAAAUCGACCAGCUUCAACUUCUAUAAAUAAAGAGCUCCUCGUUCAUUCAAGGGAGAUUCACAACUCUGCAGAAGACAUAGAAUACAUCUUUUUCUUAUUCUUUCUGUAAUAUGAACUACGAAUGGCUUGAUCCCUCUUUUGGGUACGUAGGCAGCUCAUAUUGAGUUCAGCUAUAACUUUAAUAAAAUCUCUAAAUUUUUUGUGUGAUACUCGGUAUCAACAUUAGUGAGGGAAAAGAAAAACAGAAAGAAAAAGAAACGGAUCAAAAGAGUAUACCUACAAAAGAAUUGCAUAUUUAAACGGGUCGGUGCUUCCGGAAUAGAAAUAAUUGUCGUAGUGGAAAUUACAAUAGUUAAAAUUUAUAAGUAAAAUAAAUAGAGGAUUUUGGAUUAACUUUAAAUAACAAAAGAUCUGAGGAAUUAUCAAGCAAUAAACAGAACUUUUAUUGUCCGAAGAGAUCAAAUGGGAUUAAAAAGCGGUUUUGAACAAGAAAUGCGGAGUAAUCUAUGUUUAGUAUUUAGAAUUCAUUCUUAAGAGUAAUUUUACAAAAGCAAAAACAAAGACUUGUCAAGUGUUUGAGUGUAGAGCUAGUUGGGAUAGAAGAAGUUUUGCUGCUUUUUGCUCUCCUCCGUGUUUGAUAUUUCCAAUUAUUCUGUCUGAUUUGCUAUGGAUAGUUUUAAUUUCGAAGAUUAUCGUCCUUACGUUUAGGUGCAUUAAUUCACAUAUUUGAAUAAUUUUUUGUUCUCGUUGUAGUUGACUACCAGAAUUGCAUUUAUUCUUCUUUGACGUAGAUUUCAAUUGGUAAAAAAAUUAGUCUGGUUCGUCACCUCGUCAGUAUUUUUGAUUUCAUCAGCAUUUUUACCAUUGGUUUAUUGGGUCUACCAUCACAACAGUGCUGAAUGCAAAAUGUUCAAAAUUCAAGUUGGCCAUAAUCAAAAUUUGACGUGCGUUGGACGAACCUUUAACAUUUUAUAUGAAACAUUAUUAACACACUAUUACAUCAUUUAUAUUCCUUUAAACAAUCAAUAACCAAUAAAUCCACCAUUACCCUAUGCACGUCUUCUAAAUGAGACAUUCUCUUUGCCGAUGGCUUGUCCCCAAAACUACAUAUAAUUAUGCAUUUUCCGGGAACUAACAAUAAGUCAGGGGGAUACGUGACAUAUUCUAUUUUUAAGGGAGAGUGUGCUGACGAUGAAAAAUACUAUUUUUGGGAUAAAUAACGGUAGAAAAUAUGGAUACUUGUAUAAACCAAACUAUGCCUUGUGUGAUAUACAGUAUAGGCCUGUUUGUUCAUUGUGUGAUUUUUUAUUAAGUGUAUGAUAAAUUAGAUGAUAUUCUUAGCGUCACAUGUGUUUUAGAUUAGGAAAAUCACUUAGCACCAUUUCCUUAGUUUAACUUUUGGUCAUUUGUACGGUUAGGUAAAGGAGGUGAACCUUUAACGGCGUUGGGGUCGUGAUGUAGCGUCAUGGGUCGAAGUCUAUUUGUGGCAUUGGACAUUUGCACCUUAUUAUUUUUGGACUUGGAUUUACUAUCUUUCUAUUUUUGUUAACCGUAAGGCUUUGGAUUUAAGUAGGUGUGUUGGCUUCUACUAGGGUUUAAUAUUUUUUCUACUAGGGUUUAAUCAUUGUCUUCUUCUAAGGAUUUUAUUAAAAGAUCUUAAACGCUUAGCCUUUGUAUUAAGAAUAACUCUCUUAAAUAUGCUUAGGAAACUUGCUCAAAACCUAAACACCAAAAGCUCAUAUGUAAUGCCACAUCUCGACAUCUAUACAUAUAUAAAACAUAAUUUCCUAUUCCUAAUUAUAUUAGAUAACUCCUAAAGCAACUAGAAACAUCUAGAAACCGACUUAAGUCCUACUUUUCCUAAUCCAACUUGAUUAAAGAUAUCUUGGGCCUGAAGUAAUGUUGAAGCUUAUCCAACAUUCUCCCUCUUAAGCUUCAACCCAUCCUUAGCCAUAUCUUGAAGACCAAUCAAACUCCUCAUUUCGGUAAACUUGAUCCUCGCUAAAGCCUUUGUCAGAAUAUCCGCCUUUUGCUCCGUUCCAGGUACAUGUUCUACUCCAACCUGCUCCCUCUCAAUGCAUUCUCGCACAAAAUGGUAACGCUUGUGGAUGUGUUUGCUCUUGCCGUGAAACACUGGGUUCUUAGUAAGCUCUAUGGCCGAGUUGUUGUCGAUUUUGAUGAUGACUUGCUCUGGUUCUCGUCCUGUUACUUUGCUUAGGACGUCUUGAAGCCAUAUAGCCUGUCUUGCUGUUUCAGUUGCGGCCAUGAACUCAGCUUCACAUGAUGAGAGAGCAACAGUGUCUUGUUUCUGAGAGCACCAUGUUAUAGGUGACUUUCCAAAGUAAAAAAUAUGACCUGUUGUACUUCUUCCAUCAUCAAAGUCGAUGUUGUGACUACUGUCGCUGUAGCCGAUUAACCUCCUUGAUGUGUCACGUCUAAACUUUAACCCAAAUGCAAGUGUCCCUUUUAAAUACCUUAGUAUCUGCUUCAUCAAGUCUCCAUGAGGUUUUCGUGGACUUUGCAUGUAUCUACUUGCAAUACCGACUGAGAACGCCAAGUCUAGGCGAGUGUGAAGCAAAUAUCUUAAGCAACCAACAUUCUGUCUGUAGCUAGUUGCAUCUAUCUCGGGUUCUUCUUCUGCUUUUGAUAUCUUGAGUCCGAAAUCCAUAGGUAUAAGAGUUGCAUUACAUUCUUCAAGUCCAGCUUCCUUUAAGAUCCUUCUCGCAUAUGCCUCUUGUUUAAUCUCAAUUCCAUCAUCUCCUUGGUGAACCUCGAUGCCAAGGUAGUAUGUUAGUUUCCCGAGAUCAGACAUUUCGAAUUUACUCGCCAUUCCUUCUUUGAACUCCUUUAACGACUUUGAGUCAUUGCCUGUGACAAAUAAGUCGUCGACAUAGAUGGCGAUUAUCAGAAAACUUCCCCCUUCCUCCUUUCGAUACACAGAAGUCUCUUCCAUACAUCUCACAAAUUUCAUGCCUUUCAAGAUUUGAUCCAGUUUUGUGUUCCACGCCCUUGGUGCCUGUCGCAAGCCGUAUAAAGCUUUAGAUAGUUUGUAUACUUUCUGCUCUUCUCCUCUUAUUUCAAAACCUUCAGGUUGCUCGACAAACAUGUCUUCUCUUAAUUCACCGUGUAAAAACGCUGUUUUAACAUCUAAGUGGUGAAUUUCCCAUCCAUGUGAUGCAGCUAGAGCCAUUAACAACCUUAUAGUUUCGAGUCUCGCGACUGGUGCGAAUACUUCGUCAAAGUCUACUCCUGAUUCUUGAAUGUACCCUUUAGCAACAAGUCUUGCUUUGUAUUUGUUAAUGGUGCCGUCUGCAUUCCUUUUGAUCUUAAAAAUCCAUUUAAGACCAAUAAUCUUCAUGUUGCUUGGCCGAUCAACAAGAGACCAUGUUUUAUUUUUGUUGAUCGACCGUAUUUCUUCUUCACAAGCUUUCCUCCAUUCCAGAGAACUUUCUGCUUCUUUGUAAUUUCUUGGUUCGCAAUCGAUGGAGAGAAGAAGUCUUUCACAUUCGACCGAGGCUUGCAUCACAAAAUCAUCGAAGUGUUUUGGUUUUCUUGGUUCUCGUGAUGAUCUUCUUAGAACGGGUACCUCUGUUGUUUCUUCUUCGUCAUCAUGAAUAGCUGGAUGUAAUUCCGAAUCAUUAUCAUCACCAUUUCCUUCAUUCUCGAGAUCAUGAGUGCUUUCUUCCUCUGUUUCAUCUGGAUCUUGAGGUCCGAUAAGAACGGGUCCUUCUCCUGUGUCUUCGAUGACUCCCCAUCGCAUAUGGAACAUUCCCGGUUCUUUAUCUGAGUUGCUGUCUACCUCCUUCCAGUUCCAAUUCGUUUUUUCAUCAAAUAUUACAUCUUGGCUUACCAUGAUUCUUCUUCUUGAAGGGUUGUAUAAUCUGUAGGCUUUUGACCCUGGUUCGAUACCUAGGUGGACUAGUGAUAUUGAUCUAUCAUCUAGUUUCCUGAGAUUUCCAGAAUCAACCUUUGAGUAAGCUAUACACCAGAAGAUUCUUAGAUGUUCCACACUUGGUUUUUUUUCUCGUAAGCUCUCGUAUGGAGUUAUGUUGUUGAGUGCCUUUGUGGGAAUUCUGUUAAUCACAUAAGUAGCAUGUCGUACAGCUUCUCCCCACAAAUAGUUUGGAACAUUCUUAGCUUUAAGCAUGCUUCUUGUCAUCUCCAUUAAAGUUCUGUUUCUUCUUUCGACAACGCCGUUCUGUUGCGGAGUGUAAGGUGCCGUCAACUGUCUUUUGAUCCCAUGUUCCUCACAGAAAGAUUGAAACUCCUUGGAGGUGAACUCUCCUCCCCUGUCUGUUCUAAGUGUGAUGAUCUCUUUUCCGAGUUCUUUUUCGACCAAGCAUUUGAACGCCUUGAAUCUGUUAAAGGCCUCGCCCUUUUCUUUCAAUAAGAUUGUCCACAUGUACCUUGAGAAAUCAUCUAUGAUAACGAAGACAUAUCUGUUUUGUGCAAGCGUAGCAGGUGUUAUCGGUCCACAAAGAUCAGCGUGAAGGAGUCCUAGUGGUUCUUCUGCUCGAUACAGAGUUGCUUUUGGAAAACUCUGCCUUGUUUGUUUCCCAACUAAGCAUGAUUCACAGAUUUUCUUUUCAUCCUUUGUUGCUGGUAAGCCGUGCACCAUCUUUUUUUGGGACAUGUCUUUGAUUGUUUUGAAGCUUACAUGCCCAAGUCUUGCGUGCCACUUCCAUGUUUCAUCUUCUAUCUGCGAGUAGAGACAUGUUGGUUUCCCAAUCUUGAGUUCGAUUUUAUAUAGCCGAUUAGGUGACCUUUGAACUUUUACAAGAAGUCUGUUGUUUGUGUCAUGAACGGUCAGAUAAUCCUGCUUCAUUCGAACAUCACACCCGAUCUCGGUAGCUUGCUUUUGAGUUCGGGAAUGAAGUAUAUGUCUUUGACAAGAAUCUGUUCAUCAGUUUUGCUUUGAAACAAUAUGGAUCCCUUUCCUUCGAUCUUUACGCAUGAUCCGUCUCCAAACUUUACCUUUCCUUUGAUGCUUUUGUUAAGUUCAGAGAAGUAUGUUUCAUUACCGGUCAUAUGGUUACUCGCACCAUUGUCGAGAUACCACAUACCUUCCUCGCCCUUGUAGUUCUUUGGUAUAAGUUUGUCUUCAUUCAAGAAAACAAUCUCAUGCAUAUACAGUGUAGCAUCAUCAUCAGCUUCCUCUGUUUCUGUGAUGUUUGCUUCUUGUAAUUUUCGAAUCCUUUCAGGGCACUUUGAGGCGAAGUGACCAGCUUGAUCACAGCGAUAGCAGAUCACACUUGAAAGAUCUCUUCUUUCCUUGUUUUGCCCGCUUUGAUUUGACCUGUCUUGAGAGUUGAAUCGACCUCCUCUCCCUUUUCCUCUAUAGCCUCUUCCUCGUCCUCUUCCAUACGAAGUUUGUUGUUCUGAGUUGGCGUACAACAGUUUGCUCUGCGUAUCGUCUUGCUUGUCAUCGUCGACAAUACGUUCCUCAUAAGCUUUAAGUCGACCAACGAUAUCUUCAAAACUAGUCGCCUUUAGAUCCAGAACUUGUUCCAAUGAGGCAAUGAUGUGAAUAAAUUUGUUUCUCGGUAAACCGUUGAGAAACUUCUUCACUAGUUUGGGCUCGUCGAUCGUCUCUCCAAGUGCUGUUGUUGUUGAUGAUGCAAUCUCCGACAACUUCCCAGAAAAAUCAUCGAUUUUUUCUGUUUCUUUCAUCUUCAUUCUUUCAAACUCUGCCAUUAGGGUUUGAAGUCUUGCUUCCCUGACUCGCUCAGCUCCUAGAUUCCGAGAUUUUAUUGCUUCCCACACUUCUUUAGGAGAAUUUUUCUCACCGACUUGUAAGAUCAAGUUCUCCGGGAUGGAUUGGAAGAGUAAUCCUGUUGCAAUGUCAUUCUUAGUGGAAUCUGCUGACCCUGGAUCAAUGGUCUCCCACACUUUAUGAACUCGCAACAGCACCCUCAUUUGCAUUGCCCACACGGUGUAAUUGGUGGUUGUAAGCAUCGGACAUUGUAUUGAGUUCGGAAUCGUCUCUUUUUUUUGUGCCAUCGGAAUCACAUCUCCCAUGCUUUGUGUAUUGGAUUAUCUUCGUGUUUCAAAGCUCUGUAAUUUCGGAUCGUGUUUCAAAGCUCUGAUACCAAAUAAAAGAUCUUAAACGCUUAGCCUUUGUAUUAAGAAUAACUCUCUUAAAUAUGCUUAGGAAACUUGCUCAAAACCUAAACACCAAAAGCUCAUAUGUAAUGCCACAUCUCGACAUCCAUAUAUAUAUAAAACAUAAUUUCCUAUUCCUAAUUAUAUUAGAUAACUCCUAAAGCAACUAGAAACAUCUAGAAACCGACUUAAGUCCUACUUUUUCUAAUCCAACUUGAUUAAAGAUAUCUUGGGCCUGAAGUAAUGUUGAAGCUUAUCCAACAUUUAUUUCUUAGUUGUUUUCUAUUUAAAGAUACCUUAUGAUUGUAAGGAACGGUGGUUGUUUUUCGGCAUUCCUUUGAGGAAUCAUCGAAGUGAUCAAGACGUACGACAAGUGAUUCAGUUAUUAUUUUGAAUUAACGAACCCUUGUGUUAUCGUUAUAAAAACCUAAUGAAACGUUAAGUUGUUCCAACAAUCGUAGCUUCGGUCAAGUUGAUUAUGUAGAACUCAAAAGCUUAAAGAACUGCACUUCUUUAUUAGAUUUAGAAAACUCACACAAAAACUAAAUCUCUCUCUUGAAGUCUUGUAGAACAACUCUCUACUUAGAACUUCUUAUAUAGGUAUAAGCGACAUCCUAAACCUAUUAGGAUUACAAACCAAUUUCCAUAUUUGUAAAACCUAUUUUCCUUUUCUCUAUUUCUCUAGAAACUUCCACUUUCUAAAGAAACUUAUUCCCCAAGUUCUGGAAUUAUCCAACAUUCACCCCCGUAAUUCCAACAUGAAUUGCAGGGUCUUCGAUUGCUUGUACUCCGAUCAAGUUCCUCAUUUCCUUGAAUUUGAUUCGGGCUAGUGGCUUCGUAAUUAUGUCCGCCUUCUGUAGUGUGCCAGGAACAUGCUCCACUUCUAUUUGAUCAUUCUCCACACACUCUCUAACGAAGUGAUACAUCUUGAGAAUGUGUUUGCUCCUUCCAUGAAAAACCGGAUUCUUGGUUAGAGCAAUGGCUGACUUGUUGUCAAUCCUUAGUGUGACCUUCUCGUCAUUGUUAAGUAUUUCUCGCAUUAACUCCUUAAGCCAUAUAGCUUGCUUUGCGGCUUCUGUAGCUGCCAUGAACUCAGCCUCGCAAGACGACAACGCGACGGUGGGUUGCUUCUGUGAUGUCCACGUGAUUGGUGAUGUUCCGAAGUAGAAGAUGUGGACUGUCGUGCUUCUUCCAUCAUCGACAUCAAUGUUGUGACUGCUGUCACUAUAUCCAAUCACUUUAUUUGAUCCGUCUCUCCUGAAAAACAAACCCAAGUUGGUAGUUCCCUUUACAUAUCUUAGUACUUGUUUAAGAGCUUGGCCGUGACUUUCUCUCGGAUUUUGCAUGUAUCGACUUAGAACUCCAACAGCGUAUGCCAAGUCUGGUCUCGUGUGAAGCAGGUACCUCAAGCAUCCGAUGCUUCUCCUGUAUGCCGCGGCAUCAAUCUCUGGCUCACUUUCUGCCUUUGAGAGCUUUAUGUUUGCAUCCAUUGGAACUUGUGUGGGAUUACAUGUAUCCAUCCUUGUAUCUAAGAGAAUUCCUUUUGCAUAACCCUCUUGUUUUAUGCGAAUCCCAUCAGCUCCUUGAAUCACUUCAAUUCUAAGAUAGUAUGUCAGUUUGCCGAGAUCUGACAUCUCAAAUUCUCUUGACAUAUCUUUCUUGAAUUGAUUGAUGAUUUUUAACGAGGUUCCUGUCACGAACAAGUCAUCUACAUAUAUUGCCACGAUCAAGUAGUCUCCCUUAUCCCCUUUGAGAUACACGGACAUCUCUUUCACACAUCUCUUGAGACCCAUCUCUUUAAACACACGAUUAAGUUUCACAUUCCAUGCUCUAGGAGCUUGGCGCAGUCCGUACAAGGCUUUGUGAAGACGGUAGACUUUGUUUUCUUCUCCUUUCUUUUCAAAACCUUCAGGUUGACUUACAUAGACGAUUUCACUAAGCUCUCCGUUUAAGAAAGCCGUCUUGACGUCUAAGUGGUGUAUCUCCCAACUUUUUGCUGCUGCAAGUGCUAUGAGAGAUCGUAUGGUUUCAAUCCGAGCGACAGGGGCAAACGCUUCUUCGAAAUCAAUGCCUUGUUGUUGUACAUAGCCUUUUGCUACUAGUCUUGCUUUGUACUUGCUCACCGAACCAUCUGCUUUUCUUUUGAUCUUAAAUAUCCAUUUUAAACCUAUUGGCUUCACCCCAUCUGGUUUGUCAACAAGCUCCCAAGUCAUAUUCUUCACGAUUGAAUCUAUUUCAGCCAUCAUAGCUUUAAUCCAUUCACGAAGAUCCUUAGCUUCCCAAUAGCUUUCUGGCUCGCCAUCAAUGGUGAACAACAGUUUCUCACUUUCCAAGUCAGCGAGAAGUAUGUAGUCAUCGAGAUAUCUCGGUUUAUUGAUUGUGCGACCAUAUCUUGUUACAUACGGUUGGUUUUGAGCUGCUUCUUGUUGUUCCCCAUUGUCAUUGUCAGCCUCUGCUUCUUCAUUCUGAUUCUCAGGUAGCGGUUCUUCUUGAUAAUCCUCAUUGAUUCCUUGAUUAUCAUCAUGUGCAUUUCCAUCUUCAAUGACACCAUUAACUGUAAGCUUAAACAUACCAGGUUCUCCGCUUUCUUGUUGUGAUGUCGAUGACCAGUCCCAAGCUUUCUUCUCAUCAAAUAUUACAUAUCUGCUUACAAACACCUUUCUCGUGGUUGGAUCAAAGAGACGAUACGCUUUGGAGCCUUGUUCAGUUCCGAGAUUGAUCACAGAUCGUGACCUAUCAUCUAGCUUCUUAAGGUGAGGACCAGUGAUCUUUAUAUGUGCGACACAUCCGAAAACCCUUAAGUGUUCAAUGUUUGGUUUCUUGGACAUGAGACACUUGUAUGGUGUUUGAUCUUUCAAAGCUUUUGUAGGGACUCGGUUGAUGAGAUAUGUAGAGUGACGGACAGCUUCUCCCCACAUAUCAUUCGGAAUUUUCAUUGCCUUGAGCAAACUUCUUGUCAUCUCCAUUAAAGUGCGAUUUCUCCUUUCUACGACACCAUUCUGUUGAGGCGUGUAUGGUGCAGUUAGGUGACGGUUAACUCCGUUUUCUUCACAAAACGAGUUAAAUUCAUUCGAGGUAAACUCUCCUCCUCUAUCGGUGCGAAGAGUUUUAAUAGAUUUCCCCAAUUGCUGCUCCACGAAAUCUUUAAAUCUUUUGAACCGAUCAAACGUCUCACUCUUCUCCUUUAACAACAUUGUCCACAUGUAUCUUGAGAAAUCAUCAAUUAAUACGAAAACGUAUCGAUUGUUUGCUAGUGUUGGCGGUGAGAUAGGUCCGCACAAGUCUCCGUGAAUUAACUCCAAUGCUUGAGUUGCACGGUAUGACGCUUUGAUUGGGAACGAUUUUCUGGUUUGCUUCCCAACUAAGCAUGCGUUACAGAUGCUUUCCUGCGAUUGAAUCUGCGGCAAUCCAAUGACCAUCUCCUUUUUCACCAUGUUAUUCAAAACACCAACACUUAUAUGACCAAGCCGUGAGUGCCAAGUCAUUUCUUCAUCAUCGUUUUGUAUUUGUAGACACUUCGGAAAGCUUAUUUCCAUAGGUGUCUUGUAGAGACGGUUUGGUGAUCGUAUGACCCUUACUAGCAGCCUUCCUUGUGCAUCAUUCAACGUGAGAGCUUCACCUUUCAUGUUGACUUCACACCCAUGUUCUGUUGCUUGUCCAAGACUUAUGAUGUUGUGUUUAAGUUCAGGUAUAUAGUAGAUGUCUUUGAGUGCUCUCUUGUCGCCAUUCUUGCUCACAAAAACUAUAGUACCUUUUCCCACAAUAUCAACAUAUGACCCAUCACCAAACUUCACUUUUCCUUUUAUGUUUUCAUCUAGGCUCAAGAAGAACUCUUUAUUCCCUGUCAUGUGAUUACUCGCUCCAUUGUCAAGAUACCAAAUACUUUUGCUGUUGGUAUCAUACACCUUAGGGAAUACCUUUUCUUCAUUCAAAAACACCACCUCGUGUAUGUAAAGCGCGUCAGCUUCUUGUGUUUCAUUCAAAUUUGUUUCUUGCGUUUCUGCAG
This 12565-nucleotide long non-coding RNA is filed under the name Eutrema salsugineum. RNAcentral's name for it is "long non-coding RNA (ESAL_LNC000188)". The record is from RNAcentral. Lineage: Eukaryota; Viridiplantae; Streptophyta; Magnoliopsida; Brassicales; Brassicaceae.